GCAAAGGCAGCAUGGAGCCCUCCACGGCUGCCAAGGAAGAAGGUGGCAGUGAGGAGCGUAACGAGAGAGGAAAUUGACAGGUUCUGGAGGAGGAAGCAGGUCGAGGAAGAAGAACGCCUCCUCUCUGCACACAAGGCAGCAGCAAGAAUUCGAGCUCAGGCUCUCACGGAGGGAGACUACCGGCGGUUCGAGCAAUCUCUUUGGAGCAUCAUCGACGAGAACAAGGAAUUCAACAACAAAACCAGCGGCGGAAACAAUAUAGAACAGCUGGUGGGAAUCAAGGAUUGGUGGACCAAAAGCAAAUAUGCAUAUCUGAAUCAACCUGCUAUCAAAUCCAUGGGAGACUGUGCAGCUAGAAGAGAGACAUCUAUAUAUACUCCACAGAUGACUUGUUUCUUCGAGUCUCAUGCUACAUCUCUAUCCACGAUCGACUCGUCUCUUGGGGUUUUCUAGAUAAUUGGCGUUGGACAUGAAGAUGUAACGAGACUUUAUUUAAGCUCAUGUUGCGUGG
RNAcentral lists this unclassified non-coding RNA (511 nucleotides) under Hevea brasiliensis (rubber tree). Lineage: Eukaryota; Viridiplantae; Streptophyta; Magnoliopsida; Malpighiales; Euphorbiaceae. The record is from RNAcentral.